UUAAAAGUUUCUGCGUUAGAUCCCUCCAGAAGAUGCAUUUUUUAGGAAUUUUUACAAUUAUAACAGUGUUUGUAGUUCCAAGCAACUGUUGGCAGUAUAAUUAUCGUGCUGGUGGCAUUUGUGAUGAUACUAAUUCAGAGUUGGCUGUUGAUACGGAAAUUGGUGCAGGCUCAGGAGCUGGAAGGCGUUACGAGAGGCUGCGUUAUGAGGCGAUAGAUUAUGUAAAAUGCGUAGAUGCUGAAGAUCUUUGGGCAGACAACACUGGUGGAGAUGUGUCGUUAACUGGUGGAGGUGUUGGUCAGAAAUUUAUCCAAUUACAAUUUAAAACUCAAAGGUUGAGAGGAAUGAAAUUUCGAGUAAGAAUAUGGGAACCAAAAGCAAAUCAUUAAUUAUUAUGUUUGGUUGAUUUCCAAGAUGAACAGCAUUUGUAUGCUUGGUUGUUACAACAAUCCAAAGAUGUAUAUUUUAAAAAUAAAUAUAAUCAAUUUGUAAAUGAA
This is a long non-coding RNA of Aethina tumida (small hive beetle), 497 nucleotides long. RefSeq lists it as uncharacterized. The transcript has 2 exons. The record is from RefSeq and is a predicted model, not a curated record. NCBI's taxonomy places the organism in Eukaryota, Metazoa, Arthropoda, Insecta, Coleoptera, Nitidulidae.